Molecule: ribosomal RNA, 253 nt
Filed under: uncultured bacterium
Lineage: Bacteria
Description: partial 16S ribosomal RNA
Rfam family: Bacterial small subunit ribosomal RNA
Source: RNAcentral
UACGUAGGGGGCAAGCGUUGUCCGGAAUCAUUGGGCGUAAAGCGCGUGUAGGCGGCCAGAAAAGUCCGCUGUGAAAACUCGAGGCUCAACUUCGAGCUGUCGGUGGAAACUUUCUGGCUAGAGUCCGGAAGAGGAGAAUGGAAUUCCUGGUGUAGCGGUGAAAUGCGCAGAGAUCGGGAGGAACACCCGUAGCGAAGGCGGCACUCUGGGCCGGUACUGACGCUGAGGAGCGAAAGCGUGGGGAGCGAACAGG